RNAcentral lists this ribosomal RNA (514 nucleotides) under uncultured bacterium. Its description in RNAcentral is "bacterial SSU rRNA". It matches the Rfam family "Bacterial small subunit ribosomal RNA", at positions 26 to 518 of the family's 1533-position model. The record is from RNAcentral.
AGGACGAACGCUGGCGGCGUGCCUAACACAUGCAAGUCGAACGGGGAUUUGUUUCGGCAGAAUCCUAGUGGCGAACGGGUGAGUAACGCGUAGGCAACCUGCCCUCCGGCCGGGGACAACACUCCGAAAGGGGUGCUAAUACCGGAUACGAAGUCUGUGCCGCAUGGUACGGAUUUGAAAGAUGGCCUCUGUUUACAAGCUAUCGCCGGGGGAUGGGCCUGCGUCCGAUUAGCUGGUUGGUGGGUAACGGCCUACCAAGGCGACGAUCGGUAGCCGGUCUGAGAGGAUGAACGGCCACAUUGGGACUGAGACACGGCCCAGACUCCUACGGGAGGCAGCAGUGGGGAAUCUUCCGCAAUGGGCGCAAGCCUGACGGAGCAACGCCGCCGUGAGUGAGGAAGUUCUUCGGAACGUAAAGCUCUGUUGUUCCUGACGAACCCCCCUUCUAUCAACAACGGAGGGGACUGACGGUAGGGAACGAGGAAGCCACGGCUAACUACGUGCCAGCCGCGGC